RNAcentral lists this ribosomal RNA (375 nucleotides) under uncultured bacterium. RNAcentral's name for it is "bacterial SSU rRNA". It matches the Rfam family "Bacterial small subunit ribosomal RNA", at positions 28 to 402 of the family's 1533-position model. The record is from RNAcentral.
AACGAACGCUGGCGGCGUGCUUAACACAUGCAAGUCGAGCGGUAAGGCCCUUUCGGGGGUACGACGAGCGGCGAACGGGUGAGUAACACGUGGGUGACCUGCCCUCAGCUCUGGGAUAAGCCCGGGAAACUGGGUCUAAUACCGGAUAUGACUCCAUGACGCAUGUUGUGGGGUGGAAAGCCUUGUGCGGCUGAGGAUGGGCCCGCGGCCUAUCAGCUUGUUGGUGGGGUGAUGGCCCACCAAAGGCGACGACGGGUAGCCGGCCUGAGAGGGCGACCGGCCACACUGGGACUGAGAUACGGCCCAGACUCCUACGGGAGGCAGCAGUGGGGAAUCUUGCGCAAUGGGCGAAAGCCUGACGCAGCGACGCCGCGU